Molecule: long non-coding RNA, 2381 nt
Filed under: Canis lupus familiaris (dog)
Lineage: Eukaryota; Metazoa; Chordata; Mammalia; Carnivora; Canidae
Description: lncRNA (ENSCAFG00000052631.1)
Source: RNAcentral
UUUUAAUCUAGAGCACUUAUCGUCUUUUUUUUUUUUAAGAUUUUAUUUAUUUAUUCAUGAGAGACACAGAGAGAGAGAGGCAGAGACAAAGGCAGAGGGAGAAGCAGGCUCCAUGCAGGGAGCCUGAUAUGGGACUCGAUCCUGUCUUCAGGGUCACACUGUGGGCCGAAGGCAGGCGUCAAACCGCUGAGCCACCCAGACAUCCCUUAAUACACUAUAUAAUUGAAAAAUAUAUAUAUAGUGUACAAUUUAUUUACUUAUUUAACUUAUGGUCUGUCUCCCCACUGUAGGAUGUAAGCUCCACAAGGGCAGGGAUUUUUUCCUUUUGUUUUGCCACUGUUACACCACUGUACCUUGUCGGUGCUCAAUAAAUACUUGUUGAAGAGUCAUGUACUAUUCUAGGUACUGGAAUUUUAGCAGCAAACAAGGCAGUCCAGGUCUCAGACCUUAAAGGAUUUACAUUCUCUUGGAGGGGGGUAGUGCGGGGAGAAGGGAAGGCUAUAAAUAAGUAAACAAGCAAAUGAAAUUAUUUCAGAUUUUGAUUAAGUGCAAUGAAAGAACUAAAUAAUAAUAACCAAUAAAAGAAUGAUGGAGAAAGGAAGGUGACUUAGGAGAGGUCAGGAGGGCACACUCACUUAUUAGAAUGUAAGCCCCAUGAGUAUUUGGACCUUGCCUAUCUUGUUUAGAGUAGUGAUAGGAUUUUCUAGGGUGGGGGUAGAGCUUCUAAAUUUCCAACCUAUUGAGAAAUAGGGCCUAGGAGAUGGAGAAGUAGAGAUUUUUAAAAAUCAUCUUUAUCAGGGACCACAGGUGGCUCAGUCGGUUAAGCAUCAGAUGCUUGACUUCAGUUCAGGUUGAUCUUAGGGUGGUUGAGUUUAAGCCCCACAUUAAAAAUAAAUCAUGGGAUCCCUGGGUGGCGCAGCGGUUUGGCGCCUGCCUUUGGCCCAGGGCGCAAUCCUGGAGACCCGGGAUCGAAUCCCACGUCGGGCUCCCUGCAUGGAGCCUGCUUCUCCCUCUGCCUGUGUCUCUGCCUCCUCUCUCUCUCUCUCUCUGUGAUUAUCAUGAAUAAAUAAAUAAAUAAAAUCUUAAAAAAAAUAAAAAUAAAUCAUUAUUACUAAUCAAAUAAGGUAAAACUUUAUCCCUAAAUAAGAAACACUAAUGUUAAAUGAGUUGGUGGUACAGUUGGACAACCAUAGGCUUCUCCAGAGGGACAGACUGUCCCAGGUUGCUUAUUUCCUGGAGAAAGACCAGAAUUUCUACUUCUUGUAGACACACAAGUAGUAGGGUAUCAAAGAAAAGCCCUGUGGCACUGAGUCUAGUAUGCACAGUUCCUACUCUAAAUUCAACAAGUAGCUAACUUCUCUCUUCCUGUCCUGGGAAGAGUGAGUUGAGAUGAUAGUGUGCAGCUAGAAGUGGCAUUCAAAUUCUGUCUUCCGUGGAAACCUAAGGAAGAAGAUAAGUGUUCUCAGCUAGCAUGCUGUGGCAGCAGGAAUACUCAGAUUCCCUGCUGAGAGAGGGAGGUGGAUUUAGGACUCCAGCUGCUGCCCUCUGGAUUCACCAGUGUUCGUAAGAGGCCACCUGCCCCUGGGCUGAUCCGACCUGCAGGGUGCAAUGCUAAUUUAGGCUCCUUCCUGCAAGAGGUGGGGUUUUUCCAAUGGGCAAGUUAGACCCAUAGGUGGUGGUGGAAAACUUUCUCAGAACUGCUCUGCAGAGUGAGACUCUUUGUAGUCAAUGCUACUUCCUCUCUCCUCCCCUUUCCAUGGUAGCUGACCUGGAUGCAGUCUGAAAGCUCUCCUCAGGUUCUCCUUUAUCCCCAUCCUUCACAUGCAACUCCCCAAAUAAAUCUCUUAGGCAUCUAAUUCUAUCUGCAUGUCUGCUUCUCGGAGGGCACACACAAACACACAUGUUGUAUGCUCAGCACCUAGAACAGGGCCUAAGAUGCAAGAUGCUCGAUAAAUAUUUGUUAAAUUAAUUAAUGCAAGAAUGAAGAGAUGCCACUUGAGCUAAGACCUGAAGCAUAAGGAGGAACCAGCCACCCAAAAAAGCCAAGGGAAGAGUUUUUCAAGCAAACGAGAUGUCAAGUACGAAGGCCUCUAGAAAAGAAAGAGCUUGUCUUAUUGAAGAGCAAAAGCCAGUGGGAUUGAAGCCCAGGUGGUAGAUGUGGUAGAUGUGGUAGAUGAGGCAAGAGAAGCAGAGGUGGGCAAAUGCCAUAGGGUCUUACAGGUCAUGAUAAGAGUUUGUGGUUGUAUGGAAGACAAUACAGGGAAAGUGUUUCAAAAGUGCUCAAUUGUGCUGGAUGCUGCUGAGAAGGCCAAUAAGUACUGGACACAGAAAUGGAACUGGUCUUGGCUUAAUGGAGGUCAUUGGUGACUCUGACAAGAGAA